Molecule: long non-coding RNA, 1570 nt
Organism: Lolium rigidum
Lineage: Eukaryota; Viridiplantae; Streptophyta; Magnoliopsida; Poales; Poaceae
Exons: 2
Source: RefSeq, a predicted model, not a curated record
AACUAUUAGAUAUAGUAAGUACACAACAUUGUUGUACUAUGGUUCUGUUUUUCUUUGGAGAAGAAUGAUGAUUUAUAUUAUACACUAUUCUCUAGCAGUUAUUAUGCCCUCUUUAUUAUUUCAGAUUUAUUAUGUUCCUCGCCGCCGGCCAUGAUGUCGCCGCCCCAGAUCCCCCGCCGACCGGGACGCCGCUGCUCCAGAUCCCCCUGCCCGUUGGGACGCCACCCGCACCGGCCAACAGCGGAUCCCCCCUUUCCUCGCGCGCCGCCACAAAGAAGGCCGCACCCCGCCAUGUAUCUCUCCCGGAGCCUCGCCGCCGACCAGGGUUCCCGUCCGUCCUGGACUCGGCUAAAGGAUGCCGUCCUCCCUCCGGCGUCGGUAUCCCCUCCCCAUUCCCUUCAAGCGCCGGUGAGGAGCUUCCCGUCCCCAACCCGAUUCGCGCCGCCGCGUCCUUGAUGUGGGAUCGCUGGAUUCGCCCAUGGCACGGUGACCUCGGUAUCCAGGUCCGUCACCCAGGGCGCUCGCUGCUGCCCCAUACCGGCCCGCCGCACCACCCUCCGUGCCAUCCCCCGCCACCCCCACCUACUUCAUCGAUGGCGGCCGCCGCCUCUCUUUUCGGCGGCGGUAGUAGCCCAGGAUGGUGCCCUCUCCCACUCCUCCUUCAACUCCGGCGAGACGUAAGGGGCUCGGGUUGCCCCUGUGACCCUGUCUGUCACAGUUUUGUUUUCACUUUCUUUUUGUUCGUCCGCAUACUAUUGGUUGCGAAGUUGCAGAAUUGUUAUGUAUACUAGUAUUAUUUGUUUUUAUGUUCUAGUAAUUUGCAUGAUACAAAUCUCAGAGUACAACGUGGUCUUCCUAUUCUCUUUUCUGUCUAGGGCAGUACGGCAGGUCAGUUUUGCUUAUACAGGCAGUACAAUGUUGCUCAAUAGAUACGUAUGUGGAUUUAGUCUGCCAGCAGUGAAGUUUGGUGUUCUUCAUGGUCGGGGCAUUUCUUUUUUCUUUUCGUGUAUGUCCUUUUUGUUCUGAUUCCAACUUGAUGCAUACUGAAUCUUGCCGACGUCCACGAUGCAGCUGGGCAGGGACUUCAGCAUGACGGACGUGCGGCAGGCGGUAGCCCGGCGAAAUACGACAAGGUCGAGGGUCUAAAACACAUGGUGCUCACUGGUAGCCCCUACAAAGUUCGCGAGAGCUGUCCCCGCAGUCGGUCGUGAAAUUCUUCAGCUUCCCCUACCGCCGAGGCUCCAAUUGAAGCUGCACCAAUUUGUUGCGCUGCCCAGUUGAAUCGACGAACGCGGCCGCGAGACCUUACAGAGCAUGAGGCUGUUUUUCUCUCAGUCUCUCCGUUUCUUUUUCUGCGGGCAGUGUACCGGAAAGUGCAGUUGUGCAGCUGCAAUCAUGAUUGUAAAGUUAAUGUGAAUUAUUUUCCCCUGCUGUCGGAGUUGUGGGGAAGCUCUCUCCUAGAGCCAAUCACUCGCAACUCUGCAGCAGUGCAUUAUAUUUGUGGAUAGCUAAGUGUGCAAAAUGUUCAUACCGGGUUGUGCUUUUCUUAAUAUAAUGAAGUGUAAGUAUA